Molecule: ribosomal RNA, 602 nt
Filed under: uncultured bacterium
Lineage: Bacteria
Description: bacterial SSU rRNA
Rfam family: Bacterial small subunit ribosomal RNA
Source: RNAcentral
AGGGAAAGCUGACGCUUNACGCCGCGUGCGGGAAGACGGCCUUCGGGUUGUAAACCGCUUUCAGCAGGAACGAAAAUGACGGUACCUGCAGAAGAAGGUGCGGCAACUACGUGCCAGCAGCCGCGGUGACACGUAGGCACCAAGCGUUGUCCGGAUUUAUUGGGCGUAAAGAGCUCGUAGGCGGUUCAGUAAGUCGGGUGUGAAAACUGUGGGCUUAACCCACAGCCUGCACCCGAAACUGCUGUGACUAGAGUUCGGUAGGGGAGCGGGGAAUUCCUGGUGUAGUGGUGAAAUGCGCAGAUAUCAGGAGGAACACCGGUGGCGAAGGCGCCGCUCUGGGCCGAAACUGACGCUGAGGAGCGAAAGCGUGGGUAGCAAACAGGAUUAGAUACCCUGGUAGUCCACGCCGUAAACGUUGGGCACUAGGUGUGGGUCUCAACCAACGAGAUCCGCGCCGUCGCUAACGCAUUAAGUGCCCCGCCUGGGGAGUACGGUCGCAAGACUAAAACUCAAAGGAAUUGACGGGGGCCCGCACAAGCAGCGGAGCGUGUUGCUUAAUUCGAUGCUACGCGAAGAACCUUNACUAGGUUAAAUCAUAGUUG